CGGGGGACUACAGCGUGAAGCACCACCGCGGGCUCGAUGUUUACAUGCUGACGGCUGAAGCCAAGGAAGGGGUAGCAGCCAGCUUGGAGAGUGACAUACGGCACCUUCGGAUGUACAUGCAGAGCCACCAGCACAUGAGUUUAAAGCAACAGACAGAGCCUGUACUGGGAGAUUCUGGAGACAGCUGUGCUAAAGGAGCAGAGCCAGAUGGUCACCCGAGAACUACCUCUCAGAGCCUAGAAGAAAUGGAAGGAAGGCAGGAAAGUCCAUCUGAUCUUGUUCACCUGGACAUUGGGCAGCUCUCGGACCAAACCCACCAGGAGGAGAAGUGCAACAUCAGGAGUUUAGGAGCUUCUAAUGAGGCGUCAGAUGACUUGCUGAGCCUGGGGGAUGCAGAGAGCCCAGAGUGCUUCUGUGAAAGUAAAAAUACAGUGACACUGAGUAAAACGGAAGAGGAGGGGCAAACCUCUGCUGAAGGCUCUGGGACUAUAUCAGAUGAGAAGGGCUGCACAGUGAGUCUGUGUGCAAGUAUAAACGGUGCUGUAAAUCUUCCAUCCUGUGGAAAUACAAAUGAGGAAGCUGGAAUGACAUCUGCUGGAGUUGUUCUGGAUCAAGCUGGCUUGUGCAGUAAAGAUAGUCCCCAUCAGGAAGCACAAGCUGCCGAGGAACGUGCAGCUGACGGUACUGUUGGUGUGGUUGAAACUGCAGGCGAAGCCCCAGCUUCCUUGGAGGGCGUGGAUGUGGCUAUGGGCCAAACUGAAUGCAGGAACUGUACAGGGACGGCUGAGAGGGCUGCGGGCCAGAAGCAGGUAGAGGAUGGGAUGGCUGAGGCUGGUAAGAGGAGGACUGCAAACCUAGAAGAGCAAUCGUCAGCUAAGGACGAGUCAGCCAGUGCUGCUCAGCCCUUACUCGGUCAUUUUAAUGGCACUGAGCGUGCAGAUGGGGAGGAUGCAAAUGUGGGAGCGGUACCGGCGUGUGACGGUAUGGAUGCAGAUGGUGCUGGCGAUGUCUCUGUUGACCUUUGCAAGACUGGCGAUAACAAAGAGACUGGAGCAGACUCAGGCACUGAUCAGGUAAACAGUGGCUUCUUGGAAGGCCAAGGUGAUGCCCCUGUUGCAGCGAGGCAGGAUGUCUUUGCGAGCCCCAGGGCAGCGUUACCAGCAGUGAAUGGGGUGAAGGUUCCCGUGUGUGCAUCAAAACCUGGUCCUGGUUUGGAAAUCCAUGGCAGCGGUAAGAGUGGAGAGCAAGAAGGGCAGGUGGAAGCAGGUUGCACAGAUGGGAAGUCCAGCUCGCCCUCACUGGAAGGCAGUGUGAAAACUGAUGGCCCUGAUGCUAAACCUGAAAAUGGUGAAGUUGGUGGAUCCAGUCAAAGCAGUGCAGAACCUGCGUGUUGCCAGGAGAGCGGUAAGAUCACUGAACAUGUGGCUGAAGCAAUGGAGGACAGUGAAGCCCAGCUAGCAGGAACUGAUACCAGCAGCAGCAGAGAUGGAGGAAGCGCUGAUUCUGCAGACAGAGGUCAGGAAGUUGCUAGCUGUUGCCCUUCUGCUGAUCAAACUGUCGUUAAAGAUGAAAUGGGCGACAGCUUCAAACUGGACACUGCUCAAGAGAGGACAUGUGAGCCUGCAUCACUUCCUCCAGAGGAUGCAAGCACAUGCCUGGCAGAAAAAGAGCCUGCACAAACCAAAGUAGAGGUAGCAGAAAGUGCUUCGGAGCAGGAGGAGCUGGGUGGUGAGAUGAAAUCACUUGCUCCCCUACCCAGAGAGGGGCCAGCUGUGAGUGAGGAGCAAGAUACUGCAGUGGCACCUGCCGGACAGGAGGCAGCUCUACAAGGUAAUGACCCUGGAUUAGCUACGUGUGCCAAGGGCGCAGACUAUGUGGAGGAUAAUUUAAUAGGCACACCCUCUGCAAUUCAUUAUGAAAAAUCUGAACAAAACCAGGAAGCAGUGGUGGUGGCGGCAGGCUCGGCAGAGCUCGCCCAGCAGCCCUGUGGGGAGCAUGGCGGGGUAGCUGCUGGAGCCGGCUGGCCUGGGGACCGUGCAGGGGAUGAGGGCUCUCUGGAGCAGGGCCUCUUGCAGCAGGGUGAAGGAUCCAAAGCUGAACCUGAGCAGGAGGCUUGUGCAAGUGGCAGGGAGCAGGUUUUGUCAGAGAAACUUCUUGCUGCUGUUGUGAAACCCUCUGUCUGCAGUCAGGGGAGGCCUGUGGCAGGUGGCAGUGAUGUGGAUGCUGGGCUGAAAGUCCACGCCGAGGAAGCGUGCAAGACCGGGGCAGUGGGUAUAGGAGAAGGCACCGUGCAUAGACCUGCAUCAGCAGACGAGUCUCCGGGUGUGGAGAGUGACCCUUGUCUGGAUGAGGGGCUGAACCAACAGCAUGAUCCCAGCCAAACCCUACAGCGAAUCUCCCCGCGCAGCAGCACCCCUGAAUUAAAGGAUGCUUCAGAAAUGGGAGCCCUGAGCGAUGCCUGUGAGGGUAAGGAAGUUUUAAGGCCGGUGACAAUAACCCCCGUCGCAGUGUAUCCAGAAGAGCAGGAGGAUACAGAAAGCAUGCUUCCCCGGGCAGCACUUCAGCCCAUUGCAGAAGAGCCCACGUGCGACAGCGACUCCAGCACUGACACUGUUUGUCCAGCUGGGGAGAGCGAUGCUGGUCCCCCUGCGAAAGCAGCUCAGGGGGAGGUCUCGGCCAAGUCUGAUGGAAAGCAAAGCCGAGCUGUACCCGAAUCACCCUUCUUGCCGUGUUCGUGCCGUUUACAUGCUGUUGAGUCACUGGAAAAUGUGGGAGUAAAGAGUUUGGUUUCGGUAGAUGAUGGCUCCUCUCUGGAUAAAGUUCCUAAAAUGGUAAAAAGUUUUGAUGCGGUGGUUUUUGCAGCAGAGACACCUUGUUCCCCUGAAUUACCAGCCGCAGAAAAAGCAGGACUUGAGCCCCAGCCUGCAGUGGAUGUGGGAGCCAGCCUUAAUGGAGAAGUGGAUUUAAGUUCCUUGACAAAGAAGAGGAAUGUCAGCCUGUCAGUGCAACAAGCUGAUCCUGUUACAGGUAGGAAAAAUCAGUUGGUUUCCUACUUUUCAGCUUUUUCUUUGUAGAUAUGACUCCAGCAUCUCAUCAGCAAAGGAAGGGAAAUAAGAGCAGGAGGCCUGCCUUGCAGAGGAAGUGUAGGUGUUUGGGGCUUUUAUUCUGAGAAAGG
RNAcentral lists this long non-coding RNA (3175 nucleotides) under Strix occidentalis caurina (northern spotted owl). RNAcentral describes it as "lncRNA (ENSSOCG00000002380.1)". The record is from RNAcentral. Lineage: Eukaryota; Metazoa; Chordata; Aves; Strigiformes; Strigidae.